This 5204-nucleotide long non-coding RNA is filed under the name Sus scrofa (pig). RNAcentral describes it as "lncRNA (ENSSSCG00065038233.1)". The record is from RNAcentral. Lineage: Eukaryota; Metazoa; Chordata; Mammalia; Artiodactyla; Suidae.
GGUCACACUCGAGGCAUGUGGAAGUUCCCAGACUAAGGGUUGAAUUGGAGAUACAGCUGCCAGACUACACCACAGCUUACAGCAAAGCCAGAUCUUUAACCCACUAUGCAAGGCCAGGGAUCGAACCCAAGUCCUCAUGGAUAGUAGUUGGGUUUGUUACCACUGAGCCAUGACAGGAACUCCCGUGAUCGCCAUUCUGACCAGAGUGAGGUGAUAGGACAUUGUGGUUUAGAUUUGCACCUCCCUGAGCAAAUUUCUUCAUGUCCUUUUUGGAGAAAUGUGUAUUUAGUUCUGUCCAUUUCUACAUCAAUUUUUUUUUGUUAAGUUGUAUGAGUUCUUUAUAUAUUUUUGAAUAUUAACCCUUUAUUCUGUAUAUGGUUUGCAAAAUUCUUCUCCCAUUCCGAAGGCUGCUGUUUCACCUUGUUAACUGUUUCUUUUACUAUGCAGAAGCUUUUGAGUUUGAUGUAGUGCCGUGUGUUGAUUUCUGCUUUUGUCAUCUGUGCUUUUGGCCUCAUGCCCUCAAAGUCAUUGCCAAGACCAAGAUCAGGGAGCUUUUCCCCUAUGUUUUCUUCCAGGAGUCUUAUGAUCCAUUUUGAGUUAGCUUUUGUCAGUGGUGUGAGGCAUGGAUCUGAUGUCUAUGUGCUGUGUGUUUUUCCAGUUUUCCUAGCUCCAUUUGUUGAAGAGACUAUCCUCCCCUGUUGGAUGUUCUUGACUUCUUUGUCAAAUAUUAGUUGAUUCCAUAUGUUGGAAUUUAAUUCUGGGCUUUUUAUGCUGGUAAAAUAAAUUGGCCUAGUGUGUCUACCUUUUGUGGCAGUACCACAUUUUGAUCACUGCGGCUUUGUAGUGUAAUUUAAAAGCAGGGAGUAUAAUAUCUUCAGCUUUGUUCUUUUUUACUCAAGAUUUUAAAGUCACUUAAUUUUGAGUUGGUUUGUUACCCAGCAUUACUGGGAUAAUAGCUAAUUUGUACGCAAUUGGACACACUAAUUCUGGAUGACAGUGACUCUAUAGUAUUAGACAGUGAUAGUUUUGUGGCUCUGGGUUAUAUUAACUAUGGUUUUAGAUAAUAGUGGCCUUGUGGUUCUGGUAUUGGGGGUUCAAUGAUGAUGGAAUUUGAAGGUAAUUAUAGCAACAUAGCUAAUAUUUAUGGCUUUUGAUAAUGAUGUACUUGUGCUUUUGAUGGUUAUGGUGCUUAUGCUAAAAGGUGUUUAUUUUGCUGACGGUACUUCAUAUGAUGAUAUGUAUGAUAUGCUAGGAAACUCAAAUUUUCUACCAGGUUACCACAAUUUGUUAACUAAAUGACAGCUUUUAAUACCACUAAGUUUCCAAGGAAGCUAAAUAUACACUGUUCUUAGUUUCUUGCUAGACUGGGAAAGUUGAGAUAAUGGUAGGUUUCUUCUCACUGUGUGUGUAUGUAUGUGUGUGUGUGUGUGUGUGUGUGUGUGUAUGCCAGAAUUAGUGACCUUUUUCAGAAAAAAAAACAACCCUUCUCUGGGCCUCACUUCAGCCUUUACAAGAAUGACUUAUAAAUUGGUGUAAAAUAUCUGAUUAUCUUUUUUCUUUGAAUAAACAUAUCCAGUGGUUAGAGACAAAAAUUCUACCUGUAUUUCAGCAGGGGAGGAGCCCACAUGUGGUGCCCCACCUAGAGGACCCUGGUCCUAUCCGUGAAAUGGUCUUAUUUUCCUAGGAGGGAACUGGUUAUACUUGCUUUUGUUUUUCACAUAACCCCUUUGCCAGUAUAGCUAUUGAACGAUGGGGUACCACAUUUCUCUUUAGGAAGCUCUAUACAUUUUCUGAGGGUGUUUCCUAUCUCUGUUCACUUUGUGGAUAAAUGGCUAACAAAACUCUUACCCUUUUUUGAAUGAGAAUUUGACCUUUGGUGAACUCUCUGGCUCAGUUCCCCUGGUAUCUUGACAAUGACAGAAUGUCAACUAUGUUUCUAGGCAGGAUUGCUUGUGCUAAAAAUGACCUUUGACUGGCACAUUGGGUCUGGCCUGGAAAGGUCUAAAGGACAUAUAAAUACUUGACAGGGAAGCUAUGCUUUGGGCUCCCCUAAGAGCUGUGACUCUUAGAUCUGGGCAUGCAUCUUGCAGGGAUCUCAGAAACUGUGGAUCUCAUGUGUUAACAGGUUUCAGGUCAGGAUGGGUCCUGUACUUGCCUGGUGUGGGUCUUAUCUCCUGUUAGGUGGCUCCAAGGACCACCACAGAAAUAAAACACCUGCAGUGGUCCUCUUGCUAAGCUCUGGGUUUUGUCCUCUAACCUCAUAGAUGGGUGCCAAGUGUGACCCCUGGCGGCGAGUUGGAGUACUUUGUUGAACCUAAAAUGGUCUUUAGUGGGUCUUGCAGACUUGGUGUAGGGGACACUUGAGACCUCCACUGGCCAGAGAGAACUCUAUGACAGAUGCCCUGUGUGUAAACUUGAGGUGAUUCGUCAUGCAUGAGGUGUUUAAGGAGAUGAAGUGGCAAGAGGCCAGUCCCCCUGGGGCUUUCAGAGCAUGCAUUGACAGAAGUGCUGUCUAGGUAACUUGUCAAAUUGCAACAUCUCUCACUAAGAUGGGGUAGAUGGAGAAGGGUUUCAGGGAAGGAGGCUAAAGACUUUGGGGGGAUGAUUAUGUUGCUGGCCAAAGGGUGGCUCUUCCUUUUUAAAGCCAAAGAGCACACACACAUAGCCACUCACAGGAGAGGCAGGAGAAUGAAUGGCCAUCUCAGGUAUGCCUCUAACCACAGGAUGGCCUUCUCUGGGGGAUCCUAGAUAAGUCCUGGCCACACUGCCCUGCAUGCUCCUUGUCUAGAGAGGGAAUGCAAGUCUGCGGAGGCUCAAGCAGUAACCUCUGGAACCUUCCUCUGUCUCAAGGCUCUAUUCUCCUUUGGGCUGGCUCCAUUUUCAGUCGGAUUUUUCCUAGGAAGAAGCAAAGACUGCCAUUGGCAACUCCAGGCUUCCAUUUUGCCAACUUAGCAACCGUAGAGGAAAGAGCAAGUGUGCUGUGGCUGAUGCUGCCCUGGCUUGGAACCCACGUGCUUCCUGAUCAUGGAAGCUGGGGUGAUGGAGGCUGUCAUGGGGCUGCCUAGGAGUGGGCUGUUCGGAAUCUUUGAAACAUAUAGCCUGUGACUGGAGCAAAGUGCUUUCCCAAAGGGAAACUGGAGGGCUGGGUGCCAGGAAGUAGGAAGGGAUGCUGGGAAGGAUAAACAAUGGUUAUUCCCAAUCGUAUCCCUGAGCAUCCAGGAAGAAUGUGGAAAAGUGAUGAUGUACACUCAUUUCAUAUUGUCUUGAUCAUCUAAAAGCCACUGAAAGGUGUGAAGUCAAAGACAAGGGCAAACACCAGGGCUAGACAUAGAGGUACCUUGGUAUGUGAUGGAGCAUGGGUGAGACAGGUAAGUGAAAAAUGAUAAUCAGGGAGAAAAUGAUAAAUGCCAUUAUGUAGACAGAAAUCCAGAGUUUAUAAAAACCAGCAGUUACAGUGACAACCCAGAAAAUACUGGAGAAGAAUUCUGGCAUUCUAGGCUUCCAGCCAUCUUCAAACUUUAGUGUGCUAUGCUGUCACCUGGGGAUCUGCCAAAAAUGCAGGUUCCGAUGCAUCAGGGCUGGGGUGGGUGGUGAGGGGCAGGAACAAGAGUGUGUGUUUUGAAUGAGUUUCUUAGCCUCUCUGCUGCUGCUGUUGAGGGACCCUGCACCAAGGAGCAAAGCAGUAGAGGGUUGGGUCACUGCUCACCUGGUGCUGAUGCUGUUCCUCAAGGAGAGGUAUUAGCGGCUGCCUCCCAAAACAUUUGGGGAGCAUCCAGACAGUAUUCGAAGUGUAGCAUGAGGCAGGAGAAGCCUCGUUGCAGGGGCCUCUUCUAAACCAUUAGACCUACCGGAGCAGAUUGUGUGACCCUGGAACGCGCAUGCGGGCAGUUUCUCCUUGUGCUGCGGCAACACUUACAAAAGCACAUUAUGCUGUGAAAUGAAUUAUAAACAGUGAGAUAAUCACAGGCCCUCCUCUGCCAAUGGACAGCUCCCACUGGAAUGAAUUUGGAGAUGGGGAGCAUUAAAAAAAAAAAGUGGCCAAACAGCAGAAUAAUGUGUAACUGUUACACAUUACAAAAUGAGCUGUUUUCAAAAUGAGCCAUAAAAGGAUGUUUGGAAAAAUGUUAAUUUUUCAAUGUCUCCUCCCACCUUGUUGUCUGGACUCCUUUUUUUUUUUCUUUUUUUUUCCUUUCUUUUUUUUUAUUACUCAAAUGAAUUUAUCACAUCUGUAGCUGUAUAAUGAUCAUAACAAUCUGAUUUCACAGGAUUUCCAUCCCACAGUCCAGGCACAUCUUAGAAGACUAAGAAUGCCAUUUUUUUUUUCCUUCUAUGGUUUGCCCACCAGGGCUGUAUUUGGCAAAUUGUGAUUUGUCUCCUUGAUUUGGUAAGGAGGAAAUCCAACAAGUUUUAACUCACUGAACUUGAAUUUCAUAGCAUGGUCUUAAUCAGACUCAGAUUCUUCCAGGGAACCCAAUUGUAUUCUAAAUUGGAUCCUUCUUUUACGAUAGAAGAAUAAAUGGAGGUACUCCUCAAAAUACUUAAGGACCAAAUGCUUAAGCCCAGAACUAAAGAGAUGAAUAAAAAUGUUAAAAGAGAAGAGAGGAUUAGAACUCUGGGAAUUCAGGACUUACUGCUUUUUAGGACCUAGCUUUUUUUCUUCAAGGCAUUGGUUAUUUUGACUUUGAAGUCAUUGGUGAAAGGCAGAAAUUACAAUUUAUGGCAUAGACCAACAUGUGUAAAAAGGAAUUGUUUAGUAGUAUUUUGAAUUGUUUCAUCCAGCAUCUGUUUUUCUCUUUUCACCUCAUUCAACUUAAGUGACAAAUAUAAUGCAGUUGACACAACGCUUAUUAGAUUGUUCCAACAAACAAAUGCUUAGCUGUAACUCACCUCACCUGCCCUUGAAUCUGAUUUUGCAGUGGGAGAUGGGGAGCUGAAGGAGUUAUUCCAUAGCAGGGUCAAUACCUGCAUUGGCCUAUUUGUUCUUGACACUGGAGUAGAGUGAGGAAAGGGAAUUUAAGAAAAGAAAAGCAAUUUUGUAACCCAAAGGCUCCAGUUCCAAGCCCCAAGCUUUCGUUAAUGAUGGGUUGAUAUUAAUGGAUUCAUCUCUUUUCCACUUGAGUUUUCUCAUUCAAUAAAAAUGCAAAACACUAUCUCAGUAUUUAUGUCUCACAAAUAAAUACAAUUUGCAAAUACUUUGCAAAAUA